Molecule: non-coding RNA, 92 nt
Organism: Mycena vulgaris
Lineage: Eukaryota; Fungi; Basidiomycota; Agaricomycetes; Agaricales; Mycenaceae
Source: the annotation of a GenBank genome assembly
AGCCCCGUGGUCCAAUGGUAACGACACCAGCAUUCUCUGCAUUUGCGAAAUCAGGAAGCUGGAGAAUGCGAGUUCGAUUCCCGCCGGAGCAG